This 64-nucleotide transfer RNA is filed under the name Mycalesis mineus (dark-brand bushbrown). RNAcentral's name for it is "tRNA-Ala". It matches the Rfam family "tRNA". Rfam says of the family: Transfer RNA (tRNA) molecules are approximately 80 nucleotides in length. Their secondary structure includes four short double-helical elements and three loops (D, anti-codon, and T loops). The record is from RNAcentral. Lineage: Eukaryota; Metazoa; Arthropoda; Insecta; Lepidoptera; Nymphalidae.
AGGAUUAUAGUUUAUUAAAACAUUUGAAUUGCAAUCAAAAAAUAUUGUAAAAUCAAUUUAUCUU